CCAAUUUUAUUUGUCAUAAAUUCGUAGUUGUUUCGUCACCGAUAGAAGAUUUUGGAGAUAAAAUAACUCCAAUAGUUAUUUUUUAAACUACUCUACCUUUAUAAACAAAUGGAAAUUUAUUUCUCGUAACAAAAAUUAGUAGACUCACCAACCAGCAUACCAAAGUAUCAUGAUCAAUUUCUUCUAGCAUUCUUUUCACUACAUAAACAAACAGUAGUUGUUUACAUAUUUUGAGUAGUUUAUUAGUUGGGUUUAAGGGUUUAUUCAAUAAGAAUUUCAUGAUUGAUUAGUUAUAGUGGCGAUUUCUAGGUAGGCCUUGAAUGGUUAAAGUUUUUCAAAUGGUUUUUGGUUUUACAUUUCCCAAAAAUCUAUUUUUUAACUAUUCAAGAUUCUGAAAAAAGUGGAUUCCCUAAAAAAUAGGGAAUCUAGAUUGGAAAAUAUGUCAAAAAAAAAUUAUGAACUUUUAAAUUUGGGACGAUUUAAUCAUGAACUACGAAGAACACAUAUAAAUCGUAAAGUUUUUGUUGACUUUAAAAUUAAUUAACAAAGUUUGGUUGACUAGCCAUUUUAGACAUAACUUUAAGUAGGCUAACAGAAAACGAUUACGGUGUUAAACUCCCAUUAACUUCGAGACCACCUCCAUCGUCUGCUUGUUCCUCAGACCAUCUCGAUCGUUUACUUCUGCCUUGACACCUCCUCCAUCAUUUACUUCUGCCUCGACACCACCUACAUCGUUUUCUUCUGCCUCGACACCACCUCCUUCAUUUUCUUGUGGAACAUAUACCAUGUCCCAUUGUCCCUCUUCACCAACUUCUUCGUUGUUCAACAAAGGGAGCGCGAGAGAAAUUCUAGUGUUAAGGAAUGAAAUUGAUUUGGGAAUUUAGGUUUAAGUUUCCCCAAAUCGUCGAAACGACGUCGUUUUGUCGCUACAAUAAACGAUAUCGUUUUGACAUAACAGAGAAGAAAAACGGGAGUUUAAUACCGUAAUCGUUUUCUGUUAACCUACUUAAUGCUAUGACUAAAAUGGCUAGUCAACCAAACUUUGUAAGUUAAUUUUAAAGUCAACAAAAACUUUACGAUUUAUGUCUUUUUCGUAUUUCAUGAUUAAAUCGUCCCAAAUUUGAAAGUUCAUGAUUUUUUUGACAAUUUUUUCCCAAUCUAGAUUCUAAGAGUUUUUAUUAAUUUCUUAACAAAAUUCAAAAUUUCAUUCAAUGGAUUUUUGAGAAUUUUCUCUACGAGAUCUUUUUAUCUCAAUAUUUCAUUUGUUUACUUAUUUUAUUUUUACAAAAUGCAAAAACCAAAAACAAAAAUCUGAAAUCUAUAAUCUAAAAACCUCCUAAAAUCCCCUAACAUUCAUGGCCUUAAUCUUAGUGCAUCUGAUUUGUGUCAUGAAUUAGUUGUUAUUCCAAGAAAAUAGGCCCAUGAUAAGUGCAGUUUUAUUUACUUGAAUCUAAACUAAGACAAGCUUGAUCUCAUAACCUCUGAAAAUCAAGUUUUAUGGUGUUCUUGUGAAUCGACAGAAGAUUGAAUAUUUAUAACAUCGUAUUUUCUUCCAUAUUGUCUAUGUUUUUAUUAGGAUUUCAAGUGAUUUUGGUAUCUUCAAAGAUACUUUCAAUUGAUUUUAUUGGUUUUUGAGAAAAAAGAGAAAAAGACGACCAAAACUCUGUUUCAGGACAGUUUCAAAGCUUCUGAAGUCUGGUGUCCGUUGAAAGCCUUCCCAUGCCCCAAAUCGAGAUAUCUUGGAGAGUAUGGAAAACUAGAAGAGUCAAGAUUUUUCUCAAAGUAGUAGAAUGGCAUACAUCCAUUGAGUUAUUUGAAAGAUAGGACCAGAAGAGUGAAGCCAUGUUUCGUACCUAUCACUAGGACUGUGACGGGGCUGAAGCUCCUCUUUGCACCAUUCACAGCUCGCGUCCCCGGGCUUAGCUCUACUCUAGGGACCGGUCACAGCCCAUGCUACCGCGUACCGGUCUGAUUGCUUUGCGUCCCGCCUAUAAAAGCCCAGACCGUCCUAGAAAUAAAAAGGAACAGGGGCAUAAAGUGUGACGACGAUAUAUAAAUAACUUCAUAAAAAUUAUUUAGUUACUUGAAAAGAUUCGAUUUUUGAUUACGGUAGCCGCCUCCCUAGAACUGGGUGCCUUAUUUGACUUGCCAUCUUCCACCACAUUUUUUUAACUUCAAAAUAAAUAUAAGUUAGGAAGAAAAACAGAGCUUCUUUCUAAGAUCAACCCACCAUGGAAGAAGAAGGCACCCAAAUAGGCCGUUGUUAGGCCGUUGUUGGACUACACACGUGUGUGUGUGUGUGUGUAUGUACGCCUUUUGAGUUGUUAUAAAGCAGAGUAAUUAGUUUACAAAAGUGGUGUGUGUGUCAGUGUCACAGGCUUGGGAUCAUAAGCAUGGUGCUGGAAUCUUGAGAGAAACUAAGAGAGACAUGAUUUGCUUUUACGACUUGGUUCAAUGCUUGGAAGGCCAUGGAAGCUCUCUGCGUUACUCAACAUAUUUGCAGUCUCCAUGAUCGCCAUGUUAUCAGUAUUCAUAAUCGACUCUGUAAUCAGGGAACUCAUCUUUGAUCUUGAUGUAGAUGGGUGGUUGGACAAAUUUCUGCAGAAAUCCUUACCAAAGAGAUGUUGUUUCCAGAAUCCGAGUAUGUUUCUUCUUCUCUGCACAAAACAUAUGAAUGUUAAACAACAAAUAAGAAAACUUUAGUUACCUUGUUGAAUGGUUUUGUCACAGAAUAUGAGUUUCAAUGCGUAUAGAGGAAGCUUA
RNAcentral lists this long non-coding RNA (2763 nucleotides) under Arabidopsis lyrata. Its description in RNAcentral is "long non-coding RNA (ALYR_LNC003202)". Lineage: Eukaryota; Viridiplantae; Streptophyta; Magnoliopsida; Brassicales; Brassicaceae. The record is from RNAcentral.